GAUGAACGCUGGCGGCGUGCCUAAUACAUGCAAGUCGAGCGAACAGACGAGGAGCUUGCUCCUUUGACGUUAGCGGCGGACGGGUGAGUAACACGUGGAUAACCUACCUAUAAGACUGGGAUAACUUCGGGAAACCGGAGCUAAUACCGGAUAACAUGUUGAAACGCAUGGUUCAACAGUGAAAGACGGUCUUGCUGUCACUUAUAGAUGGAUCCGCGCCGCAUUAGCUAGUUGGUAAGGUAACGGCUUACCAAGGCAACGAUGCGUAGCCGACCUGAGAGGGUGAUCGGCCACACCGGAACUGAGACACGGUCCAGACUCCUACGGGAGGCAGCAGUAGGGAAUCUUCCGCAAUGGGCGAAAGCCUGACGGAGCAACGCCGCGUGAGUGAAGAAGGUCUUCGGAUCGUAAAACUCUGUUAUUAGGGAAGAACAAAUGUGUAAGUAACUAUGCACGUCUUGACGGUACCUAAUCAGAAAGCCACGGCUAACUACGUG
This 497-nucleotide ribosomal RNA is filed under the name uncultured bacterium. Its description in RNAcentral is "partial 16S ribosomal RNA". It matches the Rfam family "Bacterial small subunit ribosomal RNA", at positions 28 to 507 of the family's 1533-position model. The record is from RNAcentral.